Long non-coding RNA from Oreochromis niloticus (Nile tilapia), 3116 nucleotides. The record is from Ensembl. NCBI's taxonomy places the organism in Eukaryota, Metazoa, Chordata, Actinopteri, Cichliformes, Cichlidae.
GUGUCUGAAGUGUGGGAACUUAUUGGUAUAGAUCUUACUGGACCUCUUCCUAAAACGUCAAGCGGCUUUCCAGUAUAUACUGACUGCAACUGACUACUUUUCAAAAUGGGUUGAAGCUUUCCCAUUAAAAACGAAAUCUGCAUCUGAGGUAGCCCAGCACUUGUGCUCCAUUAUAUAUAUAGACAUGGCUGCCCCAAAAGGAUUUUGUCAGACCAAGGCAGAGAGUUUGUGAAUGAAGUAAGUGUUAAAUAAUUUUCAGUUACAUUUUUUAACUUUACUUCACUGGGGUCAAAGAUUUUUUCUUGUGUGCUUGUAUAAGAAGUAUAAGAACCUUGUCCUUAUCUGUUGAAGCUCAACUCUGAUCUUUGCAAGUUAUUGCAAAUUGAAAGAAGUGUCACAGCAGCAUACCAUCCACAGACCAAUGGUCUAGAUGAAAAGACCAAUGACAACAUAAAAAGAGCCCUCCGAAAACUGGUGAAUGACCAGCAGAAUAACUGGGAUCUGUAUCUAGAUCCCACCCUGUUUUCACUGCGGUCAAAAGUACACACCACAACAAAAUACUCACCUUUUUUUCUGAUGUAUGGAAGAGAGGCAGUAUUUCCAUCAGAAGUGCCUGCUCAAGUGCCGUGAAGUGGCUUUGGGCUGCAAAAGACACCGGGCGUGUGGAGACAGUCGUUGGGCCAUACAAAUUGUAUGACUCUUCUUUUCGCACACUGGAGGACAGUGGGUGGCUUUCUGAUGAGGUAAGUGAAGUAAUCAUUUUUGGUCCUAGUGGUGGUCUGUAAAAAAUAAUCUUCUUUUAAUCCAAACAGGUCAUUGAUGCAUACCUGCACUGCCUCAUUAGGAAACAAAAGGCAAGUAAGAACGUAUGCCGGUUAUUUCACAAAAGCAUUUUAUACAAUUUUGUAAUCUUUUACAAAAAAAUUCUUGCAUUUUUCAGGAACCCGUGUAUCAGUUGUCUUGUGUUGUUGCAACCUCUCUGUUUUCUGGGAAGUUUAAAUGUGUCAGCAAGAUGUUGUUUCCGGCUGAGGACAUUUGGUUGUGCCCACUGAACUUCAGUGCACACUGGAUCCUUGUGGUUGUCAAAAUCUCCUCACGAUCUGUACUGCUGUUAGACCCUCUUGGAAAUGAAGGUUGUUAUGAAAGGAAAAUUAUGCGUAACUGGAGGAAUUUUCUGAAGAUGAAAGGAAAGGAAGAGUCCCGAGUGGAUUGGAAAAUGGAGACUCUGCCACACAGCAAGCAGAUGGACUCCAGCAGUUGUCGAGUUUUAGUGUUGAAGUUUGCCGAACACUACCUUAUGAGUGGAGAGGUUACUAGGGUGCUGUCCAAUCCAGAAGCCAUUGGGCUGCAACGCACAGAAAUUGCUUGCGAACUGCUAGAACAUCAAAGUAAUGCUGAUGACUACUGUGUGGUUUGUUCCAUGCUGGAAGCCGAUCCUGAGUCCAGUAUGAUUGAAAUGGUGCAGUGUGAGUUUUGUCUCAGAUGGGCACAUUUUGGAUGUGCUCAAUAUGAGAGCAGCCUGGUCAAGUACUUGUGUAACAAAUGUGCAUAAUUUGUUAUGAAUACUGUUUCUUUUCCACUUCUUUCUCCCUGUGUUCUGUUGGAUCUGUAAAUAUCAAAUAUAUAUAUAUGUAAAUAUUUUCAGUAAAUACAUACUGUAACUAUAAUGGAGUGAGUUCAUUGUCAAAGUUUAUAUAGUCAGGUGUUCCAAUCACUUCAAUGGUGACAGCUGUAUAACUUAAGCACCUUGGCAUGCAGACUGCUUCUACAAACAAGUGCCAAACCAUGCUACCUUUGUUAAUAAGAGCAAGAAGCAUAAUUCUGACGGGAAGAAUUACGUGCCAAAACAUGCUACCGUUGUUAUUAUAAAGUAGAAGCAUACUCUGACGGGAAGAAUUACGUGCCAAAACAUGCUACUUUUGUUAAUAAGAGCAAGAAGCAUAAUUCUGACGGGAAGAAUUACGUGCCAAAACAUGCUACCGUUGUUAUUAUAAAGUAGAAGCAUACUCUAUAAUAACAACGGUAGCAUGUUUUGGCACGUAAUUCUUCCCGUCAAAGUAGAAGCAUACUCUGACGGGAAGAAUUACGUGCCAAAACAUGCUACUUUUGUUAUUAUAGAGUAGAAGCAUACUCUGACGGGAAGAAUUAUGUGCCAAACCAUGCUACCUUUGUGAAUGUGACCUACAAGCACACUUUAAUGGGUAAAAAGAAGUGUAUACUGGCUUUAUGAAUAUCAGCUACAAACAUACUCUGAUGGACAAAGUUAAGUGGCAAACCGUCAUACCUACUUAAAUUUGUGCUGGAAUUAUUGUGUGGCAGCAGAAAUGUGCAUAAAUUACGUACAGUAGGACAUUUUGCCAAAGUAGGGCAGUUUGUCAUAAGGCAGCGUAAAAUUAUCCUACUGGUAGGACGGUUUGCCAAAGUAGGACUGUUUAUCAGAGGACACCGUAAAAUUUUCCUACAGGUAGGACGUUUUGUCAGAACACCGUUAUUCCCAUCACUGGUUAAUAUGUAAUUGUUAUGCCUUAGCAGUAACAAUUAGGGGCCGGAAUGUUAGCGCCAUUUAUAGUUAUUACAUGUUUUAUUUUGAAAAGCCUGAAAAGGAUAUGGUGCUUUUAUUGUGAAAUGUUUGUGAAAAAAUAAACAAGCGAAUGGCGGAGCGACACGAUGGUUUUACCGUCGUUGUUGCACAAACCGACGCGUAAAACAGUCUCUUGUCCAUCCAGAGUCUUAUUUUAGAUAUAAAAAAAAUAGAGAACUCCAAGAAGAAACAAAGAUAGCCACUACAAUAAGCAACGCCCGACUGUCAGAAACGCUCUGUGCGGGUAGCAAAGUCGGCUCCAACGCAUGUCCAGGCAUCAACUGGUCUUGCCACCGGCUGGCUGGUCCCUCAGCUUUCAUGCUCGGAUCUGCAGAACAACCUCGUACUGGCCACUGGGGCAUGGCAAAACUUUUAAGUCCUAGUUUGGGUCUUCACUGCUCGCAGAGAAUUAACAAUUAAAGAAAGUGAUCCAACACGAAACUCAAAUCAAACAGUGCAGUCGGAAUUGUCCACAACCACGCUCCGUUUCACAAAUAAACAAAAAACUUGCAGCAGUCAUACUGUUCAUAGACAC